RNAcentral lists this ribosomal RNA (432 nucleotides) under uncultured bacterium. Its description in RNAcentral is "bacterial SSU rRNA". It matches the Rfam family "Bacterial small subunit ribosomal RNA", at positions 96 to 524 of the family's 1533-position model. The record is from RNAcentral.
UGGCGGACGGGUGAGUAAUGCAUCGGAACGUACCGUGUAGUGGGGGAUAACGUAGCGAAAGUUACGCUAAUACCGCAUACGCCCCGAGGGGGAAAGUGGGGGACCGCAAGGCCUCACGCUAUAUGAGCGGCCGAUGUCGGAUUAGCUAGUUGGUGGGGUAAAGGCCUACCAAGGCGACGAUCCGUAGCGGGUCUGAGAGGAUGAUCCGCCACACUGGGACUGAGACACGGCCCAGACUCCUACGGGAGGCAGCAGUGGGGAAUUUUGGACAAUGGGCGCAAGCCUGAUCCAGCAAUGCCGCGUGCAGGACGAAGGCCUUCGGGUUGUAAACUGCUUUUGUACGGAACGAAAAGCCUUCUUCUAAUAAAGAAGGCUGAUGACGGUACCGUAAGAAUAAGCACCGGCUAACUACGUGCCAGCAGCCGCGGUAAU